This 47-nucleotide small nucleolar RNA is filed under the name Pyrobaculum neutrophilum V24Sta. Its description in RNAcentral is "PNEsR34". The record is from RNAcentral. Lineage: Archaea; Thermoproteati; Thermoproteota; Thermoprotei; Thermoproteales; Thermoproteaceae.
CUGAUGAAAACAAACCGGUGAGAGGUGAACGGGCUGAGCUACGCUGA